GGCAGCCGGUGCCGUAGGUGACCUGCGGAAGGACAUUACAGUAGUCGCCCGGGUUGCCGCAAGGCCUCCCGGGUAACCUACCACCCUUUGUUUAUUACACUUUGUUGCUUUGGCAAGCCUGCCCUCGGGCUGCUGGCUCCGGCCGGCGAGCGCUUGCCAGAGGACCUAAACUCUGUUUGUCUAUACUGUCUGAGUACUAUAUAAUAGUUAAAACUUUCAACAACGGAUCUCUUGGUUCUGGCAUCGAUGAAGAACGCAGCGAAAUGCGAUAAGUAAUGUGAAUUGCAGAAUUCAGUGAAUCAUCGAAUCUUUGAACGCACAUUGCGCCCCCUGGUAUUCCGGGGGGCAUGCCUGUCCGAGCGUCAUUACAACCCUCAAGCUCAGCUUGGUGUUGGGCCCCGCCGCCCCGGCGGGCCCUAAAGUCAGUGGCGGUGCCGUCCGGCUCCGAGCGUAGUAAUUCUUCUCGCUCUGGAGGCCCGGUCGUGUGCUCGCCAGCAACCCCCAAUUUUUUUCAGGUUGACCUCGGAUCAGGUAGGGAUACCCGCUGAACUUAAGCAUAUC
This 561-nucleotide ribosomal RNA is filed under the name Pseudogymnoascus pannorum. Its description in RNAcentral is "eukaryotic LSU rRNA". The stretch from base 212 to 365 matches the Rfam family "5.8S ribosomal RNA". The record is from RNAcentral. Lineage: Eukaryota; Fungi; Ascomycota; Leotiomycetes; Thelebolales; Thelebolaceae.